CCCCUUUUAAUUACGGCCACAUAGGACUAUAUCAAGGAUGCUGGUUUUCCGGCUAUGGCGAUAAAUGGACAGUGCAAUAAGCCUAUCGGACCCGGGGGCGGUACCCGGCGCCUCCACCCAAGCGCACCGCGGCAAGUCAGUCACUUGGUGCGUUUCGGCGGGGGCGAAAUAGGAUCGACGAGGGUGUAAAGACUGCGCUUUUGCUCGGCAUGGUACCACCGAUAUCGGACCAUAUCAGUAGUUGCAAAUGACAACACUGCUUCGGACAUGGCUGUUGCUGCGUAACGCAGUACCGGUAGUCCAUUUAAGUCCUUGUGGUUAGCACCGUAAGGCGGGGUUCGGAGGCACCUGGCAACAGAAGCCUCCACU
This 369-nucleotide transfer-messenger RNA is filed under the name Roseibium polysiphoniae. RNAcentral's name for it is "Labrenzia polysiphoniae transfer-messenger RNA". It matches the Rfam family "Alphaproteobacteria transfer-messenger RNA". From Rfam's summary of the family: Bacterial tmRNA, also known as 10Sa RNA or SsrA, is named for its dual tRNA and mRNA-like properties. Its role is to liberate the mRNA from a stalled ribosome. To accomplish this part of the tmRNA is used as a reading frame that ends in a translation stop signal. Lineage: Bacteria; Pseudomonadati; Pseudomonadota; Alphaproteobacteria; Hyphomicrobiales; Stappiaceae. The record is from RNAcentral.